AUCUAUCUUGAACCCUCGUAAUCACAACGACACCAAGUAUGGCAAUACAUCUAGACUCUCUCCACCAGUACUGGAGAGGCUAGACUCCUCUCGCCACUACUGGUAUUGAAGCAAUUUCAAACAUCCUCCAUCCUGAGAUACUAAGAAAUCUGAAUGAUAAAGAUGUGCUCAAGAAUCCCCUGGAGCUCAACUCCUAGGAAGAAAUCAAGUCAGACAGGAUCCACCAAGUCA
RNAcentral lists this long non-coding RNA (231 nucleotides) under Hordeum vulgare. RNAcentral's name for it is "long non-coding RNA (HVUL_LNC005098)". Lineage: Eukaryota; Viridiplantae; Streptophyta; Magnoliopsida; Poales; Poaceae. The record is from RNAcentral.